Molecule: small nuclear RNA, 106 nt
Filed under: Myotis brandtii (Brandt's bat)
Lineage: Eukaryota; Metazoa; Chordata; Mammalia; Chiroptera; Vespertilionidae
Source: RNAcentral
GUGCUCGCUUCAGCAGCACAUAUACUAACAAUGGAGCAAUAAGAGAGGAUUAGCAGGGCCCCUGCGCAAGGAUGGCAUGCAAAUGCGUGAAGCAGUCCAUAUUUUA